Non-coding RNA from Diabrotica virgifera virgifera (western corn rootworm), 81 nucleotides. NCBI's taxonomy places the organism in Eukaryota, Metazoa, Arthropoda, Insecta, Coleoptera, Chrysomelidae. The record is from the annotation of a RefSeq genome assembly.
GGCCCAUUAGCUCAGUUGGUUAGACGUUAGAGCGUCGUGCUAAUAACGCGAAGGUCGUGGGUUCGAUCCCCCCAUGAGCCA